This is a long non-coding RNA of Rhipicephalus sanguineus (brown dog tick), 1508 nucleotides long. RefSeq lists it as uncharacterized. The transcript is spliced from 2 exons. NCBI's taxonomy places the organism in Eukaryota, Metazoa, Arthropoda, Arachnida, Ixodida, Ixodidae. The record is from RefSeq and is a predicted model, not a curated record.
CUUUAUGGCCAUUUGAUUUCAUUCUUAUGCUGCAGCAUUCACAGCCAUACAGUUAAACAGGACACUUAUGAUUAAUGAAAUUUGUAAGAUAUGGCCUGCCAGAGUAAUCUAUUUACUUAAGUAUAAGUACUCUGUAGUAAUCGCAUUGUGUUUGAGCACAGGAAUAUGAACAAAAAAUAUAAACAAUUAAGACCAUUCACCUUACUAGGAUGACGUGGUUAGCUGUGCCUGUCCUCCACAAAGUUUUCUAUAAACUUUCAUGCCUUCCCAUAGUGCCAAAAAAGGAAAGUUCUGCACGCAGCACAUUCACGGCACACUAACGCAACAUGCUCACACCAUCGUGGACAUGAAGGGCGUUAGCAUACAUUGUACCAUCUUUUUCUGUGCUGUUUCACUUAGAUUUGCGAACUCAAGUGCCAGUGCACUUGUAUUGGCACAAACAAUCUGUAGUGAAUUGCAUCUGAUGCCAGCAUAUGUGUAUGUGUAUUUGUGUAUGUGUAUUUUUAAGUCUAUUACAAGAAAUGAAAAAGAAGUUAUUUCGAGGAGUGUCUCCCCUAAAGGACACUAAAGUGAAACCUUAGAUCAGUUUAGACAAAUAAAUUAUUCUUUAAGAUCUGUAAUGUCAUUCAUUUUACCUUCAUAGGUAAAUUAGUAGAAGAGGAAAUGAAGGCCAGUGUUUAACUUGUUGAAUUUCAUGCUAAAACUGAUCACAUACAUAUCAACAUGACGUUGCAAAUAUCACGUCUUUUAUCGUAUUUCGGCCACAUUGGUUCGCUAAAAUUUUGUGAAACUUAUGUUAAGAUUUAGGUAUGUAGGAACACAACGUAAAAAAUAUUGCCCGUAGCAGGUGCUGGCAAAAUCUGAUGUCACGGAGAGCUGGUGUGGGAACGUCUGUGCAGCGUCGCCUCGUCUAUCUUUUUUUUUUUUGCGCAUUGUCUUGCUUACCAAUGCCCGAAAGCAGAGCUAGUUGGUAGGAAUACAUGAUAAAAGAUGGUAGGCAUACAACACGGACACAAGAGAGAAGUUGGGACAACACAAACGCCGACUAACCUUAUUCGGCUAGUCGGUUAGUCAGCAUUUGUGUUGUCCCGACUUCUCUCUUGUGUUCAUGUUUGCAUGCCUACCGUCUUUCAUGAAUCGCCUACCAAGUAUCUUCUCGUGUGAAGAGUGGUGUCUUUGGUACUCUGAAGUUGUUUGCACUAAAUGACAGAAAUUGUUUUUCUCUUUAAAAUCCUUUUAACCCGUUUCCUACCACAGACGAUCUGAGUUCGUACACAGUUUGUACUGCUCCUACCGAAGAACUGGGCUCGUCCAUGCUGAAAGAAGCGUUUGGCAUGCCUGGAAAAGUACAUCAAAGCACACCCCAUCUGGCUGACUGCACUACCUCAAGGAAACUGCCUUUCUCCCAUCUGCAAGUUCCUAAGAAGUUACUAAUGAAGCAAGCCAGCAGGGCGUACGUGUUAGGCAUGGCAGCAUGGAGAACAAAUAAACAUGAGUAUUUGGUGCAA